GAUGAACGCUGGCGGCGUGCCUAAUACAUGCAAGUCGAGCGAACGGACGAGAAGCUUGCUUCUCUGAUGUUAGCGGCGGACGGGUGAGUAACACGUGGAUAACCUACCUAUAAGACUGGGAUAACUUCGGGAAACCGGAGCUAAUACCGGGUAAUAUUUUGAACCGCAUGGUUCAAAAGUGAAAGACGGUCUUGCUGUCACUUAUAGAUGGAUCCGCGCUGCAUUAGCUAGUUGGUAAGGUAACGGCUUACCAAGGCAACGAUGCAUAGCCGACCUGAGAGGGUGAUCGGCCACACUGGAACUGAGACACGGUCCAGACUCCUACGGGAGGCAGCAGUAGGGAGUCUUCCGCAAUGGGCGAAAGCCUGACGGAGCAACGCCGCGUGAGUGAUGAAGGUCUUCGGAUCGUAAAACUCUGUUAUUAGGGAAGAACAUAUGUGUAAGUAACUGUGCACAUCUUGACGGUACCUAAUCAGAAAGCCACGGCUAACUACGUG
RNAcentral lists this ribosomal RNA (497 nucleotides) under uncultured bacterium. RNAcentral describes it as "partial 16S ribosomal RNA". It matches the Rfam family "Bacterial small subunit ribosomal RNA", at positions 28 to 507 of the family's 1533-position model. The record is from RNAcentral.